This is a long non-coding RNA of Acromyrmex echinatior (Panamanian leafcutter ant), 93 nucleotides long. NCBI's taxonomy places the organism in Eukaryota, Metazoa, Arthropoda, Insecta, Hymenoptera, Formicidae. The record is from RefSeq and is a predicted model, not a curated record.
CCGAGGACAACGACUGACUGUGAACAUUCGGGCAGCAGCAGCGAGUUGCACAUUACUGUGCGGAAGAUAUAUUGCCGUUAUGCAGCUCCGGUG